UACGGAGGGUGCAAGCGUUAAUCGGAAUUACCGGGCGUAAAGCGCGCGUAGGCGGCUGGAUAAGUCGAUUGUGAAAGCCCCGGGCUCAACCUGGGAAUUGCAGUCGAGACUGUUCGGCUAGAGUGUGGGAGAGGGUGGUGGAAUUCCCGGUGUAGCGGUGAAAUGCGUAGAUAUCGGGAGGAAUAUUAAAUGAGACGGCGACCACCGAGAUCUACACUGACGCUGAGGUGCGAAAGCGUGGGUAGCAAACAGG
This 253-nucleotide ribosomal RNA is filed under the name uncultured bacterium. RNAcentral's name for it is "partial 16S ribosomal RNA". It matches the Rfam family "Bacterial small subunit ribosomal RNA", at positions 524 to 776 of the family's 1533-position model. The record is from RNAcentral.